GCCUGGAUAGCUCAGUUGGUUAGAGCAUGGUGCUGCUGAUGCUAUGGUUGCAGGUUCGAUCCCUGUAUGGGGCA
Lacerta agilis (Sand lizard) is the source of this 74-nucleotide non-coding RNA. The record is from the annotation of a RefSeq genome assembly. Lineage: Eukaryota; Metazoa; Chordata; Lepidosauria; Squamata; Lacertidae.